AGAAAUAACCGAGAAAGAGUGAACGUUCGGAAUUGGUAAUUCGGAAUUCGAUUUGGAUUUCACGUCCGUCGACAGACAAUGUAGAAAUUGUAUGAAAUUUCGACGUACGUCAAUGGAUGAUAGUGAAACCUGGAAAACAACGGAGCUACACUGAGCCACGGGGCGUGGCUCUUACUCGCACAAGACACAACCAAAUUCGUGAAAAUGACACGGCAUUCAUCCCACGUAAUCCAAAUGAAUUCUCACAUGAUUGUGAGAAUAUAAAUACGUGACAUUCACCCACUACGCAUGCGCAUGUGGUUGACAUUGUAGUGAGGUCGGAAAUUCACUCGAAUGGUAGGGCGGUAAAACGGAAGGUACUUUUAUGUGCACUGUACACAUGCGCGGAAAAAUAUUUAUGUCAUCGAGGAUAUAUAUCUACGCAGCCUGCCGAACGCACUUCAUUCCUCUCUUUUCCGGCCUUCAUCUGCAUCUAUUACAGAGAAGUGGAGGACGCUGACACGCUGUACCGUUCCCACAUAAAAUGAGAUAAGGAUUUUUGCGGUUCUGGGUGUAUUGCCGUCCUUGAGUGUGUUUUUAAUACUUAUGACGUAGACACAGUUUCACAUUUGCCAUAACGGUCCAUUCGUCUUCAAGAAAAUGUAUGGAGUAGUGGCAAAUCUUCAAUCCGUGUGGAAGUUACAAAGAAGUUAGUGGCAAAUUGCUUGUGGCAAACUAAAAACACUAGUUUUUGACCUUAAAGCGAUAUAACUAAUCGAUUUUAAUACGUUUACUAUUUGUCAUAAUGGUGAACAGGAAGACUUAUUUAUAUCACAUUACAUCCGUUUACAAAAUUAACGGCGUGUUCGGCUCUUUAAUUUGAAUAUUAUGGUCUCAGCUCGUAUAAAAUUUGAUAUAAAAUUAUGUAAGCGACUUAUUUCUUGGAAAAAAGUUCAUAUUCGUUUAGAACAGUAAAUGCCGGCUCCACACUGUCGCGGACCAGUUCGCUAUACUUGUAGAAUUCGGUUUUUCAUUACAUAUACAUUGCUGGUUUUUCAUUGCGGUAAAUCAAAACACUCAAACUUUUCGUAUUUAUAAUAUUAACAUGGAUGAUGCCUUGUUUAACAAUUCGAAAUAAAUCGCUAUCCGCGAUGAGGCUGCCUUUUGCAGUAUGUAUUUAUACUGUGUGACUCAUUUGUGCAAUAAAAUAUUGUUGUAUGUAUGCCAAU
Plodia interpunctella (Indianmeal moth) is the source of this 1208-nucleotide long non-coding RNA. RefSeq lists it as uncharacterized. NCBI's taxonomy places the organism in Eukaryota, Metazoa, Arthropoda, Insecta, Lepidoptera, Pyralidae. The transcript has 3 exons. The record is from RefSeq and is a predicted model, not a curated record.